AGUGAACGUUGGCGGCGUGGAUUAGGCAUGCAAGUCGAGCGAGAACCGUAGCAAUACGGGGACAGCGGCGAAAGGGACAGUAAUGUGUAGGUACCUACCUCCGGGUUCGGGAUAGCUGCGGGAAACUGCAGGUAAUACCGAAUAACGUCUCCGGACCAAAGGUGUGAUUCCACCUGGAGAGGGGCCUGCAUCCUAUUAGCUUGUUGGCGGGGUAACGGCGCACCAAGGCGACGAUGGGUAGCGGGUGUGAGAGCACGACCCGCGUCAUUGGGACUGAGACACUGCCCAGACACCAACGGGUGGCUGGAGUCGAGAAUCUGCGGCAAUGGGCGCAAGCCUGACCGAGCGACGCCGCGUGCGGGAUGAAGGCCUUCGGGUUGUAAACCGCUGUCGUAGAGGAGGAAAUGCAGGGGGGUUCUCCCCUCUGUUUGACCUAUUCUAGGAGGAAGUACGGGCGAAGUUCGUGCCAGCCGCCGCAGUAA
Molecule: ribosomal RNA, 482 nt
Filed under: uncultured bacterium
Lineage: Bacteria
Description: partial 16S ribosomal RNA
Rfam family: Bacterial small subunit ribosomal RNA
Source: RNAcentral